Herpailurus yagouaroundi (jaguarundi) is the source of this 1194-nucleotide long non-coding RNA. RefSeq lists it as uncharacterized. The record is from RefSeq and is a predicted model, not a curated record. NCBI's taxonomy places the organism in Eukaryota, Metazoa, Chordata, Mammalia, Carnivora, Felidae. The transcript is spliced from 2 exons.
GAUGUCACCCCUCCUCUGGACCCAUCCUUUGCUCCAUCUGGACCCAGGAAGCAGGUGAGACACUCUGUGAGACAGGCUGGAGUUCCAACUUUGCCUAAAAAAGGAAGUGGCUGAGCCAAGCUGGAGGAGCUGGGGCAGGAACAAGCGAGAAGUGUGUCCCCGCCGCCCCCACCCCCUCGAAGGGAGUCUUGGCAGUGGUGGUGCUGGCUCAGCUCCACAGGCCUCAGGACUCUGCUGGGACCAGAAACUGCCUGGUGCUUCCGCUUGGGCCUGUGCGGGUGGUGGGGGCAAUGGGCUCCCGCCCCUGAAGUCCAGGGUAUGCCUCCCGGAGGGGCCUGGCCUGGCCCCCAGCCCCGAAGCACAGGAGGCUGACCAGGACUGGGGCCGAAGGGGACAGUGAGCGGAGGCCAUGGUGAGGCCGCAGCAGCUGGAGGAGGCCUGGGGCUCCAGCCAAGAGCUGACCCCCGGGGGGUGCUGGGGUUGAGGUGCCAGGUUAACAUGUACAAACACUCCUUGGUUCAUUCUCUCUCUCACUGGGCGCCCACCUGCCCGGGGCAGGGAGCUGGGCCAUGGGCUGCUCUGUGGCAGGGCAGUUCCCCGCCUUGUCCCCCAAGUCCUGCAUGGCAGGCGGGCCCCAGUCACGCUUCGGCCUGUGCUGCUGGGCUGACAGGGAAGUUUCCGUCCCUUCUGGAAAAACUGAGCGGGUCUUCUUGGCCAUGACUCAGGCCCUCGAGGAAGCAGCCGCCCUCCUCCCUCCAGCCUCUCCAUCAGAGGGAGAAAGACGGGAGGCCCCGUGUUAGGACUGCUCUGCCAGGGCCUCUGCCCAGCCUUGGCUGAGCUCGACCAGCAGCCCUGGCCAAAUUCCUCCUCAGCUCUGCCCACAGUCACUCCUGCUGCUCAUGCUGGGCUCACACCUGACCCCUGGGAGAUGCCCCCACAUCCCACCACCCGAUCGGCUCUACUCCCUUGGACCCUGCUCUGCCCCGAGGCUCUACUGUCCACAGGGCCCCUGCUGCCUGCAUCAUGGCAAGUCUCAUUCCAGUGUCCUGCACUCCCAAGGCGGGGACACAGACAGAUGGAGGACCCCCAGGGAGUUGUGGGGGUCAGCCAGGAGUGUAACAGUCAGGGUCAGGGCUGAGCGCGAGGCAGACGCCAGAGGAAGCACAAAUAUAAUUGUCCGGAAACCUCCUCUCU